ACAGUCGGAAAUGCGAACGAUGGUGCUCAAGAUGGCACAUGCAACGCUAUGCAGCUGUGGACACCAGCAGCUUGAUAAGAACUCUCGAAGCUCAUCUGGAUGCUUCACAGAACCUGGGAAGACUGAACACUUUUGGCAAAGCAGCAACAGUUCUGGCCCAUCUGUUUGUCUACAAGACGGUCUCUUCCGUGAACACUCCUGUGCCUUACAGUAUACUAUACUGAUGAUCUUGUACAUCUCUCUGUAUUUAGGAUUGUCAGCACAUGGACUGCUGCACUGUGUUAUGCACGGUGCCGAGUCCAAACUUUCCAAUAACAGUGUGCAUUUGAAAAUUUUACAUGGUUUGAAAAGAUGCUGAAUGUUAACG
This is a long non-coding RNA of Rhipicephalus sanguineus (brown dog tick), 367 nucleotides long. RefSeq lists it as uncharacterized. The transcript has 3 exons. The record is from RefSeq and is a predicted model, not a curated record. Lineage: Eukaryota; Metazoa; Arthropoda; Arachnida; Ixodida; Ixodidae.